Molecule: unclassified non-coding RNA, 240 nt
Filed under: soil metagenome
Description: partial contains 5.8S ribosomal RNA, internal transcribed spacer 2, and large subunit ribosomal RNA
Source: RNAcentral
AACCUAGCACACCUGCGGUGUGUACCUGCGGAGGGAUCAUCAAUAGUCCUAAACACCACUGUAUGUGAGUUGUGUCACUACACUCACAUCACUCUUGUGUGCACUGUUAUUUGUGUCUUGGUGGACUGGGAGUGUGUUUCAGUGCUGUCAUUACUACUGCAGUUACCGUGGUAGUGUGGCACGCCUCCCAGCCUACCGUUACCAUAUAUCUGACAAACUCAUUGUGAUAUUUUAUCAAGU